This 253-nucleotide ribosomal RNA is filed under the name uncultured bacterium. RNAcentral's name for it is "partial 16S ribosomal RNA". It matches the Rfam family "Bacterial small subunit ribosomal RNA", at positions 524 to 776 of the family's 1533-position model. The record is from RNAcentral.
UACGUAGGGGGCAAGCGUUAUCCGGAUUUACUGGGUGUAAAGGGAGCGUAGACGGCUUUGCAAGCCAGAUGUGAAAGCCCGGGGCUCAACCCCGGGACUGCAUUUGGAACUGUGUGGCUAGAGUGUCGGAGAGGCAGGCGGAAUUCCUAGUGUAGCGGUGAAAUGCGUAGAUAUUAGGAGGAACACCAGUGGCGAAGGCGGCCUGCUGGACGAUGAAUGACGUUGAGGCUCGAAAGCGUGGGGAGCAAACAGG